This 450-nucleotide ribosomal RNA is filed under the name uncultured bacterium. Its description in RNAcentral is "partial 16S ribosomal RNA". It matches the Rfam family "Bacterial small subunit ribosomal RNA", at positions 338 to 795 of the family's 1533-position model. The record is from RNAcentral.
CCUACGGGAGGCUGCAGUGGGGAAUAUUGGACAAUGGGCGCAAGCCUGAUCCAGCCAUACCGCGUGGGUGAAGAAGGCCUUCGGGUUGUAAAGCCCUUUUGUUGGGAAAGAAAAGCAGCCGGUUAAUACCCGGUUGUUCUGACGGUACCCAAAGAAUAAGCACCGGCUAACUUCGUGCCAGCAGCCGCGGUCAUACGAAGGGUGCAAGCGUUACUCGGAAUUACUGGGCGUAAAGCGUGCAGAGGGUGGUGAAAGCCCUGGGCUCAACCUGGGAAUUGCAGUGGAUACUGGGCGACUAGAGUGUGGUAGAGGGUAGUGGAAUUCCUGGUGUAGCAGUGAAAUGCGUAGAGAUCAGGAGGAACAUCCAUGGCGAAGGCAGCUACCUGGACCAACACUGACACUGAGGCACGAAAGCGUGGGGAGCAAACAGGAUUAGAUACCCUAGUAGUC